Molecule: long non-coding RNA, 471 nt
Filed under: Rattus norvegicus (Norway rat)
Lineage: Eukaryota; Metazoa; Chordata; Mammalia; Rodentia; Muridae
Description: long non-coding RNA NONRATT015506
Source: RNAcentral
UGAGAUGUCCUGUCAGCAGAGCCAGCAGCAGUGCCAGCCCCCUGCCAAGUGCCCUCCCAAGUGCCAGACCCCAAAGUGCCCUCCAAAAUGUCCCCCAAAAUGUCCUUCCAAGUGCCCCCCUGUUUCUUCCUGCUGUAGCCUGGGUUCUGGGAGUUGCUGCAGUUCUGGUGGCUGCUGUGGCUCCAGCUCUGGUGGCUGCUGCAGCUCUGGGGGAGGAGGCUGCUGCCUGAGCCACCACAGACCCCGCAGAUCUCUCCGUCGCCAUCGCCACAGCUCUGGAUGCUGCAGCAGUGGUGGCAGCAGUGGUUGCUGUGGCAGCAGUGGUGGCAGCAGUGGCUGCUGUGGCAGUAGCCAGCAGUCUGGAGACUGCUGCUGACCUGGGUGUGGAAGACUUUAGACAAAUGGUGCUGGAGGAGCACAUGCUCAGAAGACACCCCAAUUCUUCUUCCUCUCUUCUCCUGCUUUCCUCCU